UGGGAACGUACCCUUCGGUUCGGAAUAACCCGGGGAAACUCGGGCUAAUACCGGAUACGUCCGCAAGGAGAAAGAUUUAUCGCCGAAGGAUCGGCCCGCGUCGGAUUAGCUAGUUGGUGGGGUAACGGCCCACCAAGGCGACGAUCCGUAGCUGGUCUGAGAGGAUGAUCAGCCACACUGGGGCUGAGACACGGCCCAGACUCCUACGGGAGGCAG
This 216-nucleotide ribosomal RNA is filed under the name uncultured bacterium. RNAcentral's name for it is "partial 16S ribosomal RNA". It matches the Rfam family "Bacterial small subunit ribosomal RNA", at positions 118 to 351 of the family's 1533-position model. The record is from RNAcentral.